AGAAUCAACGCUGGCGGCGUGCCUAACACAUGCAAGUCGAACGAGAAGGAGGAGCAAUCCCCGAGUAUAGUGGCGCACGGGUGAGUAACACGUGAAUAAUCUACCUCCGAGUGGGGAAUAACUGAGAGAAAUCUUAGCUAAUACCGCAUAACACUUACGAGUCAAAGCAGCAAUGCGCUUGGAGAGGAGUUCGCGGCCGAUUAGUUAGUUGGCGGGGUAAUGGCCCACCAAGACGAUGAUCGGUA
Molecule: ribosomal RNA, 245 nt
Filed under: uncultured bacterium
Lineage: Bacteria
Description: partial small subunit ribosomal RNA
Rfam family: Bacterial small subunit ribosomal RNA
Source: RNAcentral